This 253-nucleotide ribosomal RNA is filed under the name uncultured bacterium. Its description in RNAcentral is "partial 16S ribosomal RNA". It matches the Rfam family "Bacterial small subunit ribosomal RNA", at positions 524 to 776 of the family's 1533-position model. The record is from RNAcentral.
UACGGAGGGAGCUAGCGUUGUUCGGAAUUACUGGGCGUAAAGCGCACGUAGGCGGCGAUUCAAGUCAGAGGUGAAAGCCCGGGGCUCAACCCCGGAACUGCCUUUGAAACUAGAUCGCUAGAAUCUUGGAGAGGCGAGUGGAAUUCCGAGUGUAGAGGUGAAAUUCGUAGAUAUUCGGAAGAACACCAGUGGCGAAGGCGACUCGCUGGACAAGUAUUGACGCUGAGGUGCGAAAGCGUGGGGAGCAAACAGG